Molecule: ribosomal RNA, 253 nt
Filed under: uncultured bacterium
Lineage: Bacteria
Description: partial 16S ribosomal RNA
Rfam family: Bacterial small subunit ribosomal RNA
Source: RNAcentral
UACGAAGGGUGCAAGCGUUACUCGGAAUUACUGGGCGUAAAGCGUGCGUAGGUGGUUCGUUAAGUCUGAUGUGAAAGCCCUGGGCUCAACCUGGGAAUGGCAUUGGAUACUGGCGACCUAGAGUGCGGUAGAGGGGUGUGGAAUUCCCGGUGUAGCAGUGAAAUGCGUAGAUAUCAAGUGGAACACCAGUGGCGAAGGCGAGUCUCUGGACAUUUCCUGACGCUGAGGCACGAAAGCCAGGGGAGCAAACGGG